AUGCUGUCAGACGAGGAGGACGUGCCAAUCGUCAUCGACAUGGAGGCGGCCAUACAGGCAGUGAAGGGCAAGCUCGUCGUGGCUCGGGUGCUGUCGCAGUACCCGGUGGACCACAACACCGUCGUCAACAGCUUGCGAGGGGCGUGGAGGCUCCGUGGCACUGCGGUCCCUCAACGGGUCACGAGCAGCGAUGGGCGCUUCGUCGUCACGUUCUCCGAGGAGGGGGACCGGCAGCGUGUUCUUCAAGCUGGGCCGUGGCACUACCAGAACGACGCAGUGCUCAUCAAGGACUUCGACGGCGUGGGUAACCCUGUGGACGUGCGCCUAGAUUCUUUAAGUAUCUGGGUGCAAAUUCAUAGGUUGCCCAUCAUCCUCAAGACUGAAGACAUGGGGUGGAAGCUUGGAAAGAAGCUCGGCACCGUCCUCGCCGUGUCGCACCGCAACAAUCAAAUCGUUGACGAGCAUCUUCGUGUUCGUGUUCAGCACCCUGUGGAGAAGCCAUUGAGGAAGAACGUCGACAUAACCCCAAAAGGUAGCACCAAACCGAUCCUUUUCGAUGUCAAGUAUGAGAAGCUGCCAAACUUCUGUUUUUGCUGCGGAGUGGUGGGACACACGACAGAGAAGUUCUGCAGCAUGCCCAAAGAGCUGCGGAAGGCGUCCUACUCCACCGACAUAAGGGCGCCUCCGUAUUGGGCCUCUGCUCGUAGACAAAUCGAUUUUGGGAAGAAGCCGGUGAAGGACAAGGUGAUCACGGAGGUGGCCUCGGCGGUCAAAAGACUAUACUUGUCUGCUGCUGCAGAUACGACUACGGCGUCAGCUUCGGUGGACGGUUCUGCUCCGGUUGCCACUGACGCACCAAACGCGUUGGAGCAGCUUGUGCUCGUUGGCGGGGGUACCAACAACUCCAGCAAUGGGCCCCCUAUUCAGUUUGCUACUGGAGGCCUAGAGGCGUCCAAUGACAUGGCUGGAGCACUCCUCAACACCAACUCAGGAGCUCCGGCUGGUCAAAUGAGCGAGCUGAUGGAUAAGGGACCUGGGGAGCACCUCCACUCUAACCUGGGUGCUCCUAGGUCUCCUACUGCUGCUGCUAUGGCGUCUAUGCAGAAGCAGCCGCAGAUGGGGGAUGUACAGCCUAUGGAUCAGGCGAAGGCUAAAGCUCAUGGUGGUCGCGAGGGUGCUGCUGCUGAUGGCGUACAGCAGCGUGCUCUGGCUACUGCUGGAGUCCAGCGAUGGAAGAGGCUUCAUCGAGAAGAGCAGGAAGAGAAGGAGAUGGUGCAAUCUGCAUGUGCUAAACAUGUGGUUUUUGGCAUCCCCACGCCACCAAACAGCGGCAGCGAGCUCUCCAGUCGCAAGAUGAUUUUUGCUGCCAUGCUUGAGAGUACGGCAGGUAGCAAGAGGCGAUCCCCUGAUGACAAAGACUUCGUGUUAAGCAUGAAUAGUACUAGUACUGAAAGUCUAGAGGUUAGGGAUGAUAUGGAUGUGAGUAUGAAUUGUAAAAGAGUUGGUACUAGAGUAGGCAUAGAUGGGUCUACUAUUCAUGUAACUGAAGAGGUAGAUGGGGGAGUGGAGAUGGAUCAGGACAAAAGAAGAGAGUCUGUAGGGGAUGAAAAAGAUGUAGAGGAUGGAAAAGAUGUAGGGAACAAUACUAAGGAAGCAACCGGACCUGGGGCUGCCGGUCAACUGACGGGCGAGCAUGAUAUCGCCCGUCAGGAGCCAUGA
This 1719-nucleotide ribosomal RNA is filed under the name Triticum aestivum (bread wheat). RNAcentral describes it as "partial small subunit ribosomal RNA". The record is from RNAcentral. Lineage: Eukaryota; Viridiplantae; Streptophyta; Magnoliopsida; Poales; Poaceae.